Molecule: ribosomal RNA, 253 nt
Filed under: uncultured bacterium
Lineage: Bacteria
Description: partial 16S ribosomal RNA
Rfam family: Bacterial small subunit ribosomal RNA
Source: RNAcentral
UACGGAGGUCCCAAGCGUUGUUCGGAUUCACUGGGCGUAAAGGGUGCGUAGGUGGUUGCGCAAGUCUGAUGUGAAAUCUCCGGGCUCAACCCGGAAAUGGCAUUGGAAACUGCGUGGCUAGAGGGUUGGAGGGGGGACUGGAAUACUUGGUGUAGCAGUGAAAUGCGUAGAUAUCAAGUGGAACACCAGUGGCGAAGGCGAGUCCCUGGACAACACCUGACACUGAGGCACGAAAGCUAGGGGAGCAAACAGG